AACGCAACGCAACGCAACGCAACGCAACGCAACGCAACGCAACGCAACGCAGUUUCUAGAGGUCUAGAACCUGGAUAUUUUCACUCUGAUCCACAAAGCACCCCUCCCUCAUUCAACAGAUCUUAAUGAGAAAGAUGUCUUUUAUGAUAACCAAAUUGAACGUGCGUGCAGUCUUAUAGAAGCUUCCAGGAGCUCUGACUGCACACUUUGUACCAUCGGGAGCUGUGUGGCCAGGACAGCUCAACCAUGCCAGCAUAAACCAGCAGCUUCAAACUCCACCCUGUUUCCAGGACGUGGAUUUCUGCAUUGUGACUGCCGUGCUGGACGCUGCACUGAAUGCGUUAGUAAACUUGCUCGUGGUUCUGUGACAGAAACUACUAAUUAAACCUGAGUUGCUGUAA
Molecule: long non-coding RNA, 401 nt
Organism: Conger conger (European conger)
Lineage: Eukaryota; Metazoa; Chordata; Actinopteri; Anguilliformes; Congridae
Exons: 2
Source: RefSeq, a predicted model, not a curated record